This is a signal recognition particle RNA of 273 nucleotides. It matches the Rfam family "Archaeal signal recognition particle RNA".
GGCAGGACUAGGCUGGGGGGUCAGGCGUCCCCUGUAACCGCAAACCGUCUUUAUGGCGGAGCCGAAGCCUGAGGGCGGUGUUAGAGGUUAUGCAGGUCCAGGUCCUUAACUGUGAGGUUCUGUCCUGCUUGGUUAUCGGCAUGAUGAACCAGGUCAGGCGCGGAAGCGAGCAGCCUUAAGUUGUGCCGGUAAUGCUUGCAGGGUCGCAGAACCAAGAAGAGGGCCUGUCAAACCUGUAUAAUUUUCUAACACCCACCGGGGGCAUGUCCUGCC